Molecule: long non-coding RNA, 892 nt
Organism: Erinaceus europaeus (western European hedgehog)
Lineage: Eukaryota; Metazoa; Chordata; Mammalia; Eulipotyphla; Erinaceidae
Exons: 6
Source: RefSeq, a predicted model, not a curated record
UGAAAGCCAGAAAUGGCUGGAUUUUUCUUUAGAGUAGUCUUCUAGAAGAUUCAGCAGCUAAAAAGCUAUGCUUCCACCAGCUUUCUCAUGCACUUUGCUUACUCCUGCUCACUCUCUUUUCUGCUGGUUGGCCAUAUGUCACACAACAUUGUGACCCCGCACCCUGAGGACUUGGUGCUGCUCGCUGUGCUGAUGACUGCACACUGCUGCCUGCUCACAGCCUGACUCCAGGAGUGCAGUGAGCUCCUUUGACCCGGAGGGUGCUGGCAUGCAGUCCUGUGAAUGCUGAGACCUGUCUCUGUAGAGCCACCUCCUGGACCACUGAUGGUACUAUUUUUAUAUAAUGAAGCAAUAGUCUUCCUGGAAAACAAGGAGCUGCUCAUGGAAAGAUGACUCUGACAGCAGAAGAAUGCUGCUGAGAGCCAGGAGCCAUGUGCAGGGUGGACAGAGAGAAAUUGACAUGGGAAAAGAAGACAGAUAGGGAUAAACAGAGACAACUAUAGCAGUUCUUCACUGCUUUUGAAGCUUCCCCCUGCAGGUCCUGCUGGUGGGAUGGUGCCUUGGAUUGCUGAGAGGACACUGCAGAGUCUGGAGCAUCAAGGAGGAAGAUGGUGACAUAUCAUCAGGUGAAGAGACUGCACUGGUAUGUUUAAAGACUACUCUAAAGAUGCAGUUGUGCUUACUCUGGAUAUUCUUACCUGAGAAUGAUUGAGGAGAAAAAAAGAAGCCACAGGUUCACUUGUUCCUCUCAAAGUCUGUGUGUUGCAGGUAGAGAUGACAGGUUAAUUCUCUACUUCUUAAUUUUUGUUUCCCUCCACAAUUAUUGCUCAGGCUCAGUGCCUGCACUAUGACUCCACUGCUCCUGGAGGCUAUUUUCUCCCUUUGGUGGCCC